UACCAGCACCCCGAGUGGUCGGGACGUUUAUUGGGCCUAAAGCAUCCGUAGCCGGUUCUACAAGUCUUCCGUUAAAUCCAGCUGCUUAACAGAUGGGCUGCGGAAGAUACUAUGGAGCUAGGAGGCGGGAGAGGCAAGCGGUACUCGAUGGGUAGGGGUAAAAUCCGUUGAUCCAUUGAAGACCACCCGUGGCGAAGGCGGCCCCCUGGGCCGUACCUGACGCUGAGGCGCGAAGGCUAGGGGAGCGAACGGG
Molecule: ribosomal RNA, 253 nt
Filed under: uncultured bacterium
Lineage: Bacteria
Description: partial 16S ribosomal RNA
Rfam family: Archaeal small subunit ribosomal RNA
Source: RNAcentral